CUACGGGGCGCUGCAGUGGGGAAUAUUGGACAAUGGGGGCAACCCUGAUCCAGCCAUGCCGCGUGUGUGAAGAAGGCCUUUUGGUUGUAAAGCACUUUAAGCAGUGAAGAAGACCAUAUGGUUAAUACCCAUAUGCGAUGACAUUAGCUGCAGAAUAAGCACCGGCUAACUCUGUGCCAGCAGCCGCGGUAAUACAGAGGGUGCAAGCGUUAAUCGGAAUUACUGGGCGUAAAGCGAGCGUAGGUGGCUUGAUAAGUCAGAUGUGAAAUCCCCGGGCUUAACCUGGGAACUGCAUCUGAUACUGUUAAGCUAGAGUAGGUGAGAGGGAAGUAGAAUUCCAGGUGUAGCGGUGAAAUGCGUAGAGAUCUGGAGGAAUACCGAUGGCGAAGGCAGCUUCCUGGCAUCAUACUGACACUGAGGUUCGAAAGCGUGGGUAGCAAACAGGAUUAGAUACCCGCGUAGUC
RNAcentral lists this ribosomal RNA (464 nucleotides) under uncultured bacterium. RNAcentral's name for it is "partial 16S ribosomal RNA". It matches the Rfam family "Bacterial small subunit ribosomal RNA", at positions 339 to 795 of the family's 1533-position model. The record is from RNAcentral.